This 632-nucleotide long non-coding RNA is filed under the name Homo sapiens (human). Its description in RNAcentral is "HSALNT0316057". Lineage: Eukaryota; Metazoa; Chordata; Mammalia; Primates; Hominidae. The record is from RNAcentral.
AGAGAACAUAUUUGAGAGAAGUUUAGAAAGGAGAAUGACUGAUUAACUCUUCGUGGUAUUAUGAUUGCUCUCCUCCCGCAGGAACCAGUCAUAACCAAUUUCAAAGCCUUUGGCUUGGAAUGUCCUAAACACAUUGCACAAAGCUACUCUGCAUGGUUAUCUUUAAUCACGUCACAUAGGAACCAAUUAUGAUGUAGAAUGUUGCCACUCAAAGUGUGAUCUUUGGAGAAAAGCAUUAUCACCUACUGGAAACCUGUGAGAAAUGCAGAAUCUCCAUCCCCACCCCAGAAAUGCUGAAUCGGAUUCUGCGUUUAAUCAAGGACCUCAGAAAGGAAAUGAGAUCAACCAGAUAACCUUCUUGGAUUCCUUCAAGUGUUGACUCCACAGUACCUUAUUUUCAAGGUCAAGCAAGUAAGCAAUAUGCACAGGAGUAGCCCAUGAAGUGCGAUUUGAGGGAUAUCGAGUUGCUAAACCCUGAAGAAGGUGCCCAAAUGUGACCGACGCUGCCAUUCACAGUAAAAGGCCAAACAAGAUGGCCAGGCCCUUUGCCCUCAUUAAGAAUGUAAUCUAGAGCUGUAGUCCUCAAGCAUUUAUCAUCACAUACCCAUCAAUAAAAUUUGUUGAGUGUGCAC